AACGCUAGCGGCAGGCCUAACACAUGCAAGUCGAGGGGUAACAGAGAGUGCUUGCACUUUGCUGACGACCGGCGCACGGGUGCGUAACGCGUAUGCAACCUACCUUUUACUGGAGGAUAGUCAAUAGAAAUGUUGAAUAAUACUCCAUACGAUCUUUGAGUGGCAUUACUUAAAGAAGAAAGCUCCGGCGGUAAAAGAUGGGCAUGCGUCCUAUUAGUUAGUUGGUGAGGUAACGGCUCACCAAGACAUCGAUAGGUAGGGGCCCUGAGAGGGGGAUCCCCCACACUGGUACUGAGACACGGACCAGACUCCUACGGGAGGCAGCAGUGAGGAAUAUUGGACAAUGGAGGCAACUCUGAUCCAGCCAUGCCGCGUGCAGGAAGACUGCCCUAUGGGUUGUAAACUGCUUUUAUACAGGAAGAAACCUACUUACGUGUAAGUAGCUGACGGUACUGUAAGAAUAAGGAUCGGCUAACUCCGUGCCAGCAGCCGCGGUAAUACGGAGGAUCCAAGCGUUAUCCGGAAUCAUUGGGUUUAAAGGGUCCGUAGGUGGUCCAUUAAGUCAGAGGUGAAAUCCUAUCGCUCAACGAUAGAACUGCCUUUGAAACUGAUAGACUUGAGUUAUUGUGAAGUAGUUAGAAUAUGUAGUGUAGCGGUGAAAUGCAUAGAUAUUACAUAGAAUACCGAUUGCGAAGGCAGAUUACUAACAAUAUACUGACACUGAGGGACGAAAGCGUGGGUAGCGAACAGGAUUAGAUACCCUGGUAGUCCACGCCGUAAACGAUGGUCACUAGCUGUUUGACCAACAUUGGUUGGUUGAGUGGCUAAGCGAAAGUGAUAAGUGACCCACCUGGGGAGUAC
Molecule: ribosomal RNA, 861 nt
Filed under: uncultured Bacteroidota bacterium
Lineage: Bacteria; Pseudomonadati; Bacteroidota
Description: bacterial SSU rRNA
Rfam family: Bacterial small subunit ribosomal RNA
Source: RNAcentral